This 4645-nucleotide long non-coding RNA is filed under the name Homo sapiens (human). RNAcentral's name for it is "HSALNT0234020". Lineage: Eukaryota; Metazoa; Chordata; Mammalia; Primates; Hominidae. The record is from RNAcentral.
GAUUCAUGCAAGGCCCUCGGGUGAGGGACUGUCGAUCCCGACAGCCAUGCCAGCGCAGGGCCAAGAAAGAAUGUCCUGGAAGGGUGGGGAUGGGUUGGGCUUUCUGAACCCUCCCACCUCAGGAAGGCAAAAGACACAGAUCACAGGCAGCAAGGGGCUGCCAUUUCUGAUGCUUAUACCCUCCACGGUGGCUACAGGAGCCCGCACCAGCAGUGGGAGGAGCAACAUUCCAGAAGCUGCUUCUCUCUGCACCGAUGCAGAAACUGUGCCUGCCAGAUAGUAAUGAUCCAGCCGAGGGCACCAGGCUACAAUUUGCAGAACUGGACUGAAGAAUGGCUGACAUAGCCAGCUGCAGUGGCUCAUGCUUGUAAUCCCAACAGUUUAGGAGGCCAAAGCAGGAGGAUCACUUGAAGUCAUGAGUUCAAGACCAGCCUGAGCAACAUGGCAAGACCCCAUCUCUAUAAAAAAUACAAUAAUUAGCAGGGCAUGGUCGCACAUGUCUGUAGUCCCAGCUGCUUGGUAGGCUGAGGCGGAUGGAUCAUUUCAGCCCAGGAGGCAAGACUGCAGUGAGCCAUGAGUAUGCCACUGCACUCCAGCCUGGGUGACAAAAGAAAAAAAAAAUAGAAUGGAUGAUAUAAACUUUAUUGUUUACUGUGGGGUUGCGGUGGGGGGAGGCGUUAGUUCGUUCUUCUUUCUCUCAAUACCUUUACAAAGUCUCUGUUUCAAAAGAGAGCGCAGAUUAUGCCUGCUACCCCAAGUCCUGAGUCAGAAUUCAAAGGCAAAUAUGGUAGGGUGAUGAGGCAGAAAGGACUUAGGCAGCAGGAGAGCUGUGAUUGGUGGAAGGGGCAGGCAGGAAGAGUUUGGGUUUGGAGACACUGGUUGCUGAGUCAGAACUCCAGCUCUGUCAUUGCCUGUGUGACUUUGGGCAAGUUACAUGUGAUUGUUGGAGCUUCCAUUUCAUUUGCUAAAUAAUUGGGAUCAUAAUACAUACAACGUGGAGUUGUUAGGAUGUCACGAGAGAAUGCACAAGAAGUAAGUACUCCCGAAUUGAGCUAUUAUCUACCUCAAAGGAUUACUGGAGAAAUAGAAAAGGGAUAUAAAGAAACACAGCAAAGAUGCUUCAUAAAAGCUGUGGAGAAAAGGAAAUGCACGUACUAACUGUCAAGCAACGCAGCUCCUCGGUGCGGAUACAAAGCAAGGCACGGAAAGGGUCCUGCUGUCUGGGAUCUUGCUGCCUGGUCACCCAUCACGGGUGACAAGAUCCGACCUCCUUCCUGCUGCACUGAUGCCCCAUGGGCCAGCAAAUGCCCACCAAAGGCCAGGCACUGAGGUUCUGGCCUGUUUCUCUGCUUCUGGGGCCUGGCCUUGGAGACUCACCCUAGACUUGCAAACUCUUUCAAAAGUGUUCUUUGUUCCUAUGUAGCACCCAUAGCAAUCACUCAAAGACAGAAAUGACUGGGGUCUGAGAGCUGCAGCUGCAAGAAAGAGGAAGGGAGAUGAAAGGAAAUCCCGCCACCUGCUCCUUGCCACAAGAAUAGAUGACUCGAGCCCCUGCUCCCUUUUGGCCUCCCCUCCACUGAACCCCCAUUUCUGGAUUCCCAUAUUCUUCCAGGUCUCAAAUGCUCCAGGCAUGUCCAACUGCCAAACUCCUGAAAUGAAACAUCCUCUGAAGUCACAAGGCAUAGAUUGGGCCACUGUAGUCCUCCUGUGACCCCAGGAAAGGCCCCUGGCCUCCUCAAGCCUCAGUUUCCAUGUUUGUCAAGUGGGGAGAAUAAAGCAGCACUAGCACUGCCUGCCUCAUGGUUCUACUGUAAGAAUCAUGGGGCAGGUUGAAGGCAGAGGGACUUCCUCGGCUCAGUGUGCCUUCAAGUGGGAGCUGGGGAGUAUUAGCCAUGUUCCAGAGCACUGCAAAUGCGCUCCUUUAAGAGUAGAGACGCUACCUGUGGACCUCAUUUUCACUGUCAUUUUUCCAUGUGUUCUGAUUUUGUCCUAUUUGCCACAAGAGAGGGAUGGGGUUCUCACUGCGUCAACUCCACAGAGGGCUGUUCUCCCUGAGUUUUUAGCAUAAGUAACCCAGGACCCAAAUGAGGAAUUUGGGUGUUUAGAGGUCCUCUUAUGGGUUUAUUUUGAACUAGCUGCUAAGAAUAAUCAUUAAUCAUCAUGAAAUAAGUAAAUUGUGGGAUGCCGCCCAUGCAGCCUGCCAUAUGGAGUUGCCACUGUUAGAAGCAGGAUCUUCUCACAGCAAUAUCUGCCCCUGGAGAAGGACAUCUGCCAUUUGCCUUUUUUGUUUGUUUGUUUUAUUCCCUCCUCUCUCUCUCUUUUAUCUUCAUAUACCAUCAGUUUCUUUCCUAAUCAAUAAGCCUCAUGGACCAUCUACUAUUAUCUCAGUUUGAGCUAUUUUGCUUAUUUUUUUUUUAGUACAAACUACCUGGAAUUCCUACAUACUACUUAGCCUAUAUUUAAAGCCAGAUCCUUCUAAACAUGCCCUCCAAGUUUGAAGAAUAUCCGUUCAACCAGUUUUAUUUACACAAAAAGAGAGGCUUGUUUAAUUUAUAGGGAUAUGUAUUGUAACUAUCUGUCUCCACCCUAGAAAAAAUGCUGUCCUAGACAGCCCUGGACAAGUUGCUGAACUGUGUUCCAAGAAAGUGCUAGUUACUUGUCAUUUAUUGAGAAUACCCUUUGUUUAAAGAAAACUGAAAGCAUACCAGGCAUUGUGGUAAUAUCUUGUUUAGUCAUCAGCACCUCCUCCAACAGUUAGGUACUAUUAUGAUUCCAUUUUACAGGUGAGGAAAAUGAGAGUAGAGAGGAUGAGACAAUGAGAGUAGGAGGGAUGAGGCAGGUUUCUCAGAACCGCAAGCUCAUAAGUAAGAGCCAGGGUGCAAAUCAAGGCCUUCAAUCCACUUUCCAGGAGGCCUGCUGAUGAACUCACAAUGCUCUCCUACAAAAGGCCUGUGGGCUAGGUGCUGGUAUUGUCCUCAUUUUACAGAGCAGGGGGUGAGCUCAGAGAACCUUGGGUGUGAUGAGUUGAGUAAGGAGAGAUGAAAGAUGCUCUUGAACCUCAGCACACAGAGGUGGCCUCCAGGCUUCAAAUGGAUACUUUAUAUUUCUAUUAGUAACGUUACCUGCUACUAUAUUAUGCGAAUUGACUGGAUAGGUUUUCACUGAGUUUGGAAAGUAAGAGUGUGGGAUGGUUUUACUUAAACUAUAGGAUGUGGUGUACAUGUGAAAUAGAUCUUUGGGUUCUAACAUCUUUGGUACAUGUGAAAUAGAUCUUGGGGCCUCCAAGACAUAAUAACACCUAGGACCAACCACCCUCUCAGCAACUGAAGAACACUUUGUGUUUGAUUAUGCGUAAGAUUGUUUAAUCAAUCGCUUUUUUCCCCUGUCACAAUAUUCCACCUUCACGAAGUGUCUUUCAUCUUGGAUCUCCAAAACAGGAGUAAAAGCUGUAAUUAGUUGCAAUGACUGUUGUGUUUUUAAUAGUUACCUGCUGUAAUGUCCAUUUGACAGAUGAAGGGGCUGAGGCUUUGGGUCAGAGUAUGAUAUGCUAAAUGUGGAGAUCCAAGACAGAAGCUAGCCAAGUUCCUCCCACCCUGGAGAGCAGGGCUCCCGGGAGCCCUACAGGAAGCCUUGAUAUGUCACAGAACAAAAAGCACCAUAGAUGGUUUCAGCCUGUCUCCUCCUGCCUUGAGGCAGGGCUCAAGAUUCUUUCUGGAUUGAGAAAAAUAGUUGACUUUCCACCGCAUUUUAAAACAGCUAUUCAUGGACCAACCCUACUCCCAAAUGACAUGGAUGUGGAGCUUUUAGCACCAUCGAAAUAACUCAAUGAAAAAAGUACAUAACUUUGUUGUGAGCUCUUCCAAAAACCUGCACCAUUGAGCCUCAGCUAAAGGCCCAUACUUCAGAACUCAUUUGGGUGAUUAUAGGAAUGAUGAAGUCAUGACAAUUUCAUCAUCGGGAAGGCCUGCCAUGUCUUGGCAAUGAAGAAGGUGGCAGCCAGACUGAAGGGAAGAGGGGCUGCAAGACUUGGAGUUGGUGAUGGCAACCCUGGAGAGGAAAGGAACAUGGCCAAGAGGUUGGGAUUCAUGCUAGAUCAAGAAGGAAGAACCCAGAAGCAGCCCAGAGGCUUCACAGCUACAUAAGAAAAAAAAGGGGGCCAGGCACGAUGCCUCAUGCCUGUAAUCCAGCACUUUGGGAGCCUGAGGCGGGUGGAUCACGAGGUCAGGAGUUCGAGAGCAGCCUGACCAACACAGUGAAACCCUGUCUCCACUGAGAAUACAAAAAUUAGCCAGGCAUGGUGGCACACGCCUGUAAUCCCAGCUACUCAGGAGGCUGAGGCAGGAGAAUCCAGGAGGCGGAACUGCGGUGGGCAGAGAUCACGCCACUGUACUCUAUUCUGGGUGACAGAGUAAGACUCCAUCUCAAAAAAAAAAAAAGGAUGUGACUAUUGCCAAAACCAACUUGUAAAACAUCACCAUGAUAUGUCACCAAGCUACCUACGAGAUGCUGGGCAUACCUUCGGUGGAAGAAAGAAACAGCUAUACAACUUUGGGUUGCUUCAUUUUUCUCUUGCAUUUCUAGUUCAGGUUGGUUUUGGUGUUCUGUUGUUGUUGUUGUUUUGCAUUCCAAAAAAAAUAAAAAAUAA